CUAAAGAAAACACCCAGACUACAUCUUCGACUUUACUAUUGUUGCUGAUGCUAGUCUGGUACUGUCUUACGUGCAGAAUCGCACAAACAUUCGAGUUUCGACUGGGGAAAAUGGGGUCCAAAUUUGCCAACGUUUUCUGCAGAAAUGGGUCGUAUCUGCGCCCAUUCGUGGCUCUCAAGAUGCAGACGAGACCAUGCACCAUGGCCGUGCUCGCUGACGUCCAGAAGAAGAUUGACCAGAAAAGACAAAAAGCCAUGGAAGGAGGCGGACCGAAACGGAUAGAAGCCCAACACAAACGGGGUAAGUUGACGGCCCGUGAGCGCGUCAAUCUGCUGUUGGAUCCAGGCUCCUUCGUUGAGUUUGACAUGUUUGCAGAGCACAGCUGUACUGACUUUGGAAUGGAUGAAGAAAGCAAACAGUUUCCAGGUGACGGUGUCAUCACUGGACACGGUUUAAUCAACGGACGCGUUGCCUACUUGUUCAGCCAGGAUUUCACCGUGCACGGUGGUAGUCUGUCCAGCGCUAACGCCCGUAAGAUCUGUAAGAUCAUGGAUCAAGCAAUGGAGAUUGGGGCACCUGUGAUCGGAUUGAACGAUUCGGGCGGGGCUCGGAUCCAAGAAGGGGUGGAUUCACUGGCUGGAUAUGCGGACAUCUUCCAGAGAAACGUCAUGGCAUCUGGAGUCGUCCCCCAAAUCUCACUCAUCAUGGGGCCGUGUGCAGGUGGUGCUGUGUACUCCCCAGCCCUGACUGACUUUACCUUCAUGGUCAAGGACACAUCAUUUCUCUUCAUCACCGGACCUGACGUAGUCAAGGCUGUGACCCAGGAGGAUGUGACAUAUGAGGAACUAGGAGGAGCCAAGACUCAUACAACUAUAUCUGGCGUCGCUCACGGAGCCUUUGAGAAUGACAUCGAUGCGUUGGCUAAACUGCGUGAUCUCUACAACUACCUCCCACUCAGUAAUCAAGACCCCGCCCCUCUUAGGGCAUGUGAUGACCCAGGUGACAGACUGGUUCCUGUUUUGGACACCAUUGUACCCCCAGAAUCUAACAAACCCUACGACAUUUUGGACGUCAUUCGAGCUAUCGUGGACAAUCGUGACUUCUUCGAGAUUAUGCCAGCUUACGCUAAGAACAUGGUGAUUGGUUUUGCCAGAGUCGGCGGUCGGACCGUCGGCAUCGUCGGUAAUCAACCAAAGGUCGCAUCAGGUUGCCUGGACAUCAACGCGUCCGUCAAAGGAGCCCGGUUUGUGCGUUUCUGCGACGCGUUCAACAUCCCUCUCGUCACCUUUGUGGACGUGCCGGGAUUCCUGCCCGGUACCCAUCAGGAAUAUGGCGGUAUCAUCAGACACGGAGCUAAACUUCUGUAUGCAUUCGCUGAGGCUACUGUCCCAAAGAUAACUAUCAUCACUAGAAAGGCCUAUGGCGGUGCGUAUGACGUAAUGAGUUCCAAGCAUCUGCGAGGUGAUACUAACUAUGCCUGGCCUACUGCUGAGGUAGCUGUCAUGGGCGCGGCGGGAGCAGUGAAGAUCAUUUUCCGAGGUCAGAAAGAUGUCGUGGAGAGGGAACGGGAAUACGUUGAGAAGUUUGCAAAUCCCUUCCCUGCAGCUGUCAGAGGUUUUGUGGAUGACAUCAUCCAGCCCAGCACGACCAGACGGAGGAUUUGCCGGGACUUGAACCUCCUCGCAACCAAAAAGAAGAGCAAUCCUUACAAGAAGCAUGCCAACAUCCCUCUGUGAGAGGGUUACCUUAAGAAGGGACUCGCUGCCGCAAACGACAGAUCAAGCAUGUUGAAUUGCAGCCACGCUAGAUACAUGUAAUGCAUAUCUUGAACCCCAAAACUUCUCUAGGAAUUGGGAUGAAAAUAGAACCCCAUGGCUUUUUUGGGGUAAGAAAUUUGAAGUUGGAGUAUUUGGUUUAAGAUAUUGUGUCAACUUUAUUAUCACAUGAUCGGAUCUCCUGGUCGUUUUUUUGUUAGUCAAAGUGAAAAAACCUCAAAUUACAAUAAUAUAAGAAUGAAGUAUUUUAUAAAGAAGCAGUAUUUUUUGCGAUUCUCAUGGCAAUAUAUUGUCUGCUACUUAAUAGGUAGAUGGCAGAUAAAAUACUCUUGGAUUUUGCUUCAGAAAAUUAGGUAUCCUGCAAAAUUUAUUUUGUGAAAGAUGCAGCAUGAUCGUCAUGAUACCCACGUCUGUAAACAAUGUCCAUGAAAUAUUAAAUAUAUAUGUUUUAAAACUGA
Molecule: unclassified non-coding RNA, 2233 nt
Filed under: Patiria miniata (bat star)
Lineage: Eukaryota; Metazoa; Echinodermata; Asteroidea; Valvatida; Asterinidae
Description: propionyl-CoA carboxylase beta chain, mitochondrial- like, transcript variant X3
Source: RNAcentral